GACGAACGCUGGCGGCGUGCCUAAUACAUGCAAGUCGAACGAAUUUUCGUGCACCGUAGCUUGCUAAACCGAAAGAAGAUGAGUGGCGAAAGGGGGAGUAAACCGAGGGUAACCUGCCGAACAACGGGGGGUAACACUAGCUAACAGGUGCUAAUACAGCAUAAUUCCAUGUACAGCAGGGAAGAAGGAUGAAAGGCGCACUUGCGGAACUGACGGAUGGACACGCGGUGCCUUUGCUAGUUGGUGGGGUGACGGCCUACCAAGGCUGCGAUGCAUAGCCGACCUGAGGAGGUGGUCGGCCACACUGGGACCUGGACACCGCCCCGACUCCUACGGGAGGCAGCAGUAGGGGAUCUUCGGCCAUGGACCCAAGUCUUACCGGGCCACCCCGCGUGAGUGGAGAAGGUUUUCGGAUCGUAAAACCCUGUUGUUUGAGAAGAACAAAGAUGGGAGUGGAAAAUUCAUCCCUUGACGGUAUCUAACCAGAAAGCCACGGCUAACUACGUG
This 507-nucleotide ribosomal RNA is filed under the name uncultured bacterium. RNAcentral describes it as "partial 16S ribosomal RNA". It matches the Rfam family "Bacterial small subunit ribosomal RNA", at positions 28 to 507 of the family's 1533-position model. The record is from RNAcentral.